RNAcentral lists this ribosomal RNA (253 nucleotides) under uncultured bacterium. RNAcentral describes it as "partial 16S ribosomal RNA". It matches the Rfam family "Bacterial small subunit ribosomal RNA", at positions 524 to 776 of the family's 1533-position model. The record is from RNAcentral.
UACGGGGGGGGCAAGCGUUGUUCGGAAUUACUGGGCGUAAAGGGCUCGUAGGCGGCCAACUAAGUCGGACGUGAAAUCCCUCGGCUUAACCGGGGAACUGCGUCCGAUACUGGAUGGCUUGAGUUCGGGAGAGGGAUGCGGAAUUCCAGGUGUAGCGGUGAAAUGCGUAGAUAUCUGAAGGAACACCGGUGGCGAAGGCGGCAUCCUGGACCGACACUGACGCUGAGGAGCGAAAGCCAGGGGAGCAAACGGG